Molecule: transfer RNA, 83 nt
Filed under: Actinomycetales bacterium
Lineage: Bacteria; Bacillati; Actinomycetota; Actinomycetes; Actinomycetales
Description: tRNA-Leu
Rfam family: tRNA
About the family: Transfer RNA (tRNA) molecules are approximately 80 nucleotides in length. Their secondary structure includes four short double-helical elements and three loops (D, anti-codon, and T loops).
Source: RNAcentral
GCGCGAGUGGCGAAAUGGCAGACGCGCUAGCUUCAGGUGCUAGUGUCCGUAAGGACGUGCGGGUUCAAGUCCCGCCUCGCGCA